This 87-nucleotide transfer RNA is filed under the name Patescibacteria group bacterium. RNAcentral describes it as "tRNA-Ser". It matches the Rfam family "tRNA". Rfam says of the family: Transfer RNA (tRNA) molecules are approximately 80 nucleotides in length. Their secondary structure includes four short double-helical elements and three loops (D, anti-codon, and T loops). Further hydrogen bonds mediate the characteristic L-shaped molecular structure. tRNAs have two regions of fundamental functional importance: the anti-codon, which is responsible for specific mRNA codon recognition, and the 3' end, to which the tRNAs corresponding amino acid is attached (by aminoacyl-tRNA synthetases). tRNAs cope with the degeneracy of the genetic code in two manners: having more than one tRNA (with a specific anti-codon) for a particular amino acid; and 'wobble' base-pairing, i.e. permitting non-standard base-pairing at the 3rd anti-codon position. The record is from RNAcentral. RNAcentral also lists the same sequence under 1 other name.
GGAGGGAUGCUAGAGCGGUUUAAUAGGACAGUCUUGAAAACUGUUGUUCGUUUGCGCGAACCGUGAGUUCGAAUCUCACUCCCUCCG